Paramacrobiotus metropolitanus is the source of this 1033-nucleotide long non-coding RNA. RefSeq lists it as uncharacterized. The record is from RefSeq and is a predicted model, not a curated record. The transcript is spliced from 4 exons. Lineage: Eukaryota; Metazoa; Tardigrada; Eutardigrada; Parachela; Macrobiotidae.
UUCGCCGGCUUUAUUAAAGUUCAGCAACCACAAACGUCGAUUAGUCUGAUAUCAGAAACCGAAGCCCAUAUCGACAACCGGUCAAUGGAAUGCAACGUGUACAAAGUGGAAGCAAUCAUGGAAUCUUUCGUGUUAGCUAGCGGACUACCAGAAAGAAUUGGUAAAGAUCAUAUUGAAAGGAUUGCAACGUUUGCAGUAAGACUGCUGGAAUGCCAUCGACAGUUGACCUUUCUGCUAGAUUUGCAGAUCAAAAUCGGUAUUCAUUCUGCCCAAGCCUUUAUGUCCACAUCAUACUCGGCGAAUAUGCCAAAAGAUGCUGGCCGUCCAGAUGAUUAUGGAGACAAUAACGGUUAUGGAGACAAUAAUGGCUAUGGCAACAACGGGUACGGCACUAACGGUGGCCAUGGUAAUGAUGGAAAUGCAUACGGGAACACUGCUUAUGGACGCAAUAUGAACGCUGGUGGAGAUCAUGUCGAAGAUCCCAGACAGAUUAUGGCCGGAUUCCGUGGUCCCAGUAUGAACGUUGGCUUAUUUUAGGUUCGGGGACACCGUUAACGUAGCUGCCCAGCCACAUUCACCUCAGUCCAGAGAGCCAACUCCUCCUGGAGCAAUUCAAACAAUUCUCUGUUGAGCCAAGAGGACGCCUAGCAACAAAGGGAAAAUAUGAGAUGACCACAUACUGGCUCUUGCCGGCGUUACAUCGCUAACUUUUACGUACCUUUUGGAUUGCCAUGUGUUGGCCGGUCAUAUUACUAUCUACCGCAUGUUAUCUAUUUACGUUGAAUCUAUUUCACAUGGCAACUUCCACCGUUUUUGCGGCAUUUAAGAUUAUUUGCAAUACUCGUAUGCGCUCAGAUUAUUGCUUGCACUUGCCGUUUAAAUUGGUCAAAAUUUCUUUCAAGGAAAUUAAGGUGUCUUUUUAAGGAAACUCAACGUCAUUUCACCUGUCAGCUGUUUUAUGUUCUUAAGAUUGUCUAUCUUGGAUCUUUUGAAACUGUACAUAUUUGACGCACACUUUCCCAAAAAGGGCUUU